AAGGAGAGAGAGGAGAAUGUGGUGUGUUGUGUUGUUGUGUGUGACGCGAGGUGGCAAAAGAAUAGGGAGAGAGAGAGAAUGUGUGUGUGUGUGUGUGUGUGUGUGUGAGCGAGGUGGCAAAGAGUAGGGAGAGGAGAAUGUGUGUGUGUGUGUGUGAGCGAGGUGGCAAAGAUUUUAGAGGCGAGAGAGAAUGUGUGGUGUGUGGUGUGUGAGCGAGGUGGCGAAAGAGUAGAGGGAGAGAGAGAAUUGUGUGUGUGUGUGUGUGUGUGUGUGUGUGUGUGAGCCAGGUGGCAAACGACGAUGGGCAGAGAGAGAGACAUGCUGUGUGUGUCGUGUGUGUGUGUGGUGUGUGUGAGCGAGGUGCAAAAGAAUAGGGAGAGAGAGAGAAUGUGUUGUGGUGUGUGUGUGUGUGUGUGAUGUGUAGCGAGUGGCAAAUGAGAUAGGGAGAGAGAGAGAAUGUGUGUGUGUGUGUGUGUCAGUGUGUGAGCGAGGUGCAAAGAUAGGGGAGAGAGGAGCAAUGUGUGUUGUGGUGUGUGUGUGUGUGUGUGUGAGCGAGGUGGCAAAGAGAGUAGGGAGAGAGAGAGAAUGUGUGUGUGUGUGUGUGUGUGUGUUUGUGUGUAGCUACAGGUGGCAAGGAGUGGGAGAGAGAGAGAAUGUGUGUGUGUGUGUGUGAGCGAGGUGGCAAAGAGAGAGGGAGAGAGAGUGUGUGUGUGUGUGUGAGCGAGGUGGCAAAGAGAGAGAGGGAGAGAGAGAGAAUGUGUGUGUGUGAGCGAGGUGGCAAAGAGAUAGGGAGAGAGAGAGAAUGUGUGUGUGUGUGUGAGUCUGACUGCAUGUUUGUCUGAGAUGUGUGUAUGUUAAUUAUUAGCCCAGGCCAGGCGCAGUGGCUAACGCCUGUAAUCCCAACCCUUUGGGAGGCUGAGGUGGGUGGAUCACCGGAGGUCAGGAGUUUGAGACCAGCCUGGGCAAUAUGGUGAAAACCCUGUCUCUACUGAAAUAUAAAAAAUUAGCCAAAUUAGUCAGGUGUAGUUGUGGGCACCUGUAAUCCCAGCUACUCAGGAGGCUGAGGCACGAGAAUUGCUUGAACCUGAGAGGCAGAGGUUGCAGUGAACCCAGAUAGCACCACUGCAUUCCAGCCUGGGCAACAGAGUGAGAUUCUGUCUCCAAAAAUAAUAAUAAUAAUAAUGAUGAUGAUGAGCGCAGAUUGUGGUCAGUGUAA
RNAcentral lists this long non-coding RNA (1216 nucleotides) under Pan troglodytes (chimpanzee). Its description in RNAcentral is "lncRNA (ENSPTRG00000052899.1)". The record is from RNAcentral. Lineage: Eukaryota; Metazoa; Chordata; Mammalia; Primates; Hominidae.